GGGUUGUGAGGUUAAGCGACUAAGCGUACACGGUGGAUGCCCUGGCAGUCAGAGGCGAUGAAGGACGUGCUAAUCUGCGAAAAGCGUCGGUAAGGUGAUAUGAACCGUUACAGCCGGCGAUGUCCGAAUGGGGAAACCCAGUGCAAUUCGUUGCACUAUCGUUAACUGAAUACAUAGGUUAACGAGGCGAACCGGGGGAACUGAAACAUCUAAGUACCCCGAGGAAAAGAAAUCAACCGAGAUUCCCCCAGUAGCGGCGAGCGAACGGGGAGCAGCCCAGAGUCUGAAUCAGCUUGUGUGUUAGUGGAACGGUCUGGAAAGUCCGACGGUACAGGGUGAUAGUCCCGUACACCAAAAUGCACAGGUUGUGAACUCGAAGAGUAGGGCGGGACACGUGGUAUCCUGUCUGAAUAUGGGGGGACCAUCCUCCAAG
Molecule: ribosomal RNA, 433 nt
Filed under: Klebsiella pneumoniae UHKPC05
Lineage: Bacteria; Pseudomonadati; Pseudomonadota; Gammaproteobacteria; Enterobacterales; Enterobacteriaceae
Description: bacterial LSU rRNA
Rfam family: Bacterial large subunit ribosomal RNA
Source: RNAcentral